RNAcentral lists this ribosomal RNA (476 nucleotides) under Kirchenpaueria bonnevieae. RNAcentral describes it as "partial 16S ribosomal RNA". The record is from RNAcentral. Lineage: Eukaryota; Metazoa; Cnidaria; Hydrozoa; Leptothecata; Kirchenpaueriidae.
AUUUUGCUUUACUAGGAAAUCUUAAUUCAACAUCGAGGUGACAAACUUCAUCAGUGAUAAGGACUCUUUAAUGAAAUUAUCCUGUUAUCCCUAAAGUAGCUUUUAUUUAAUAAUCGUUAAUCUAAUUUUUAAGAGUAAACGGGUCAUUAUAGCCCACAUUAUGAUUGUUAAAAAUAUAAUUUAUACAAUAAGCAAAUUUUUAUUUGUUUUGCUUGCUUUUUUUAUUUUUAAAAAGCCCUUGCCCCAAGUAAACUACCAAUUCUUAUAGUCCUAUAUUAGGAAAUUAAGAAUUAUAGUUAAGCUUUAUAGGGUCUUAUCGUCUUACGAUUUUAAAUAGCAUCUUAACUAUUAUUUUAAUUUUCUUUUAUUUACACUUGAGACAGUGAAAUUUUCGUGAAACCAUUCAUACUCUCCGCCAAUUAAACGGUGAUUGAUUGUGCUACCUUAACACAGUCAGAAAUACUGCGGCCAUUAAA